Molecule: ribosomal RNA, 546 nt
Filed under: Triticum aestivum (bread wheat)
Lineage: Eukaryota; Viridiplantae; Streptophyta; Magnoliopsida; Poales; Poaceae
Description: partial small subunit ribosomal RNA
Source: RNAcentral
AUGCCGUCGUGGCUGAGCAAGUCAGUGGAUCUAGACGACAUCACAAUGGCCAAGAAGCAAAAAUCGGAUCCACCUUCUAGCCUGGCCAAAAAACAAAGAAGAUUCAAGAUUCAGAUCGACCAAGUCGAUGCCUCCCAAGACGUUGGAUAUCGGCAAACUCUUAGCCGUUUUGCUGAGCCUAAGCGACACGCAAUGGGCGGGAAGUCAUAUGGCCCUACAGAUGUAGAGCAACGUAUGGCUGCCAUGAAGGGCGAGCUUGAUCAGGCUCGUGCCGAGGUGCAGGGCCUUAAGGAGAAGGCGAAGGAGGACGCCGACCUGCUCCGCCAUGAGCAAAAAAUGCUCAAGGCUGCCCAAUCAACGGUGGGCGUGGUCGAGGAGGACCUCACGAAUUGCGUCAAAGAUCGUGAUUCGUUGAAGGCCAAGAAGGACGCUGCUGAUGCUGAAGCAAAGUGGCUCACCCGGGACCUUCAAGAGGCCAAGUUUCUGUUGGGAAACGUAGUAGAAAAACAGAAAAUUUCGCCCUAUGAUCACCCAGGAACAAUAUGA